Molecule: transfer RNA, 74 nt
Filed under: Actinomycetota bacterium
Lineage: Bacteria; Bacillati; Actinomycetota
Description: Actinobacteria bacterium tRNA-Leu
Rfam family: tRNA
About the family: Transfer RNA (tRNA) molecules are approximately 80 nucleotides in length. Their secondary structure includes four short double-helical elements and three loops (D, anti-codon, and T loops). Further hydrogen bonds mediate the characteristic L-shaped molecular structure. tRNAs have two regions of fundamental functional importance: the anti-codon, which is responsible for specific mRNA codon recognition, and the 3' end, to which the tRNAs corresponding amino acid is attached (by aminoacyl-tRNA synthetases). tRNAs cope with the degeneracy of the genetic code in two manners: having more than one tRNA (with a specific anti-codon) for a particular amino acid; and 'wobble' base-pairing, i.e. permitting non-standard base-pairing at the 3rd anti-codon position.
Source: RNAcentral
GCCCCGGUAGGCCAAUCGGCAGAGCCGACGCUCUCAAAAGGCGCACAGUGUGGGUUCGAAUCCCACCCGGGGCA